RNAcentral lists this ribosomal RNA (427 nucleotides) under uncultured archaeon. RNAcentral describes it as "bacterial SSU rRNA". It matches the Rfam family "Archaeal small subunit ribosomal RNA", at positions 474 to 903 of the family's 1478-position model. The record is from RNAcentral.
UACCAGCUCUCCGAGUGGUAGGGAUGAUUAUUGGGCUUAAAGCGUCCGUAGCCGGCUUAGCAAGUCUCCUGUUAAACUCAGCGACCUAAUCGUUGAAUCGCGGGAGAUACUACUAGGCUAGGAGGCGGGAGAGGUCGACGGUACUUCUGGGGUAGGAGUGAAAUCCUAUAAUCCCGGGAGGACCACCAGUGGCGAAGGCUGUCGACUAGAACGCGCUCGACGGUGAGGGACGAAAGCUGGGGUAGCGAACCUGAUUAGAUACCCGGGUAGUCCCAGCUGUAAACGAUGCGGGCUAGGUGUUGGGAUGGCUACGGGCCAUUUCAGUGCCGCAGGGAAGCCAUUAAGCCCGCCGCCUGGGGAGUACGGCCGCAAGGCUGAAACUUAAGGAAUUGGCGGGGAGCACCACAAGGCGUGAAGCUUGCGGUUC